This 253-nucleotide ribosomal RNA is filed under the name uncultured bacterium. RNAcentral's name for it is "partial 16S ribosomal RNA". It matches the Rfam family "Bacterial small subunit ribosomal RNA", at positions 524 to 776 of the family's 1533-position model. The record is from RNAcentral.
GACAGAGGGUGCAAACGUUGUUCGGAAUUACUGGGCGUAAAGCGCGUGUAGGCGGCUCGGAAAGUCGGGUGUGAAAGCCCUGGGCUCAACCCAGGAAGUGCACUCGAAACUCCCGAGCUGGAGUCCCGGAGAGGAAAGUGGAAUUCUCGGUGUAGAGGUGAAAUUCGUAGAUAUCGAGAGGAACAUCUGUGGCGAAGGCGGCUUUCUGGACGGUGACUGACGCUGAGACGCGAAAGCCAGGGGAGCAAACGGG